Molecule: ribosomal RNA, 253 nt
Filed under: uncultured bacterium
Lineage: Bacteria
Description: partial 16S ribosomal RNA
Rfam family: Bacterial small subunit ribosomal RNA
Source: RNAcentral
UACGGAGGAUGCAAGCGUUAUCCGGAUUUAUUGGGCGUAAAGCGCGCGCAGGCGGUUCUUUAAGUCUGAUGUGAAAGCCCCCAGCUCAACUGGGGAGGGUCAUUGGAAACUGGGGAACUUGAGUGCAGAAGAGGAGAGCGGAAUUCCACGUGUAGCGGUGAAAUGCGUAGAGAUGUGGAGGAACACCAGUGGCGAAGGCGGCUCUCUGGUCUGUAACUGACGCUGAGGCGCGAAAGCGUGGGGAGCAAACAGG